GUGGGGAAUCUUGCGCAAUGGGCGAAAGCCUGACGCAGCCAUGCCGCGUGGAUGAUGAAGGUCUUAGGAUUGUAAAAUCCUUUCACCGGUGAAGAUAAUGACUGUAGCCGGAGAAGAAGCCCCGGCUAACUUCGUGCCAGCAGCCGCGGUAAUACGAAGGGGGCUAGCGUUGCUCGGAUUUACUGGGCGUAAAGGGCGCGUAGGCGGACAUUUAAGUCAGAGGUGAAAUCCCGGGGCUCAACCUCGGAACUGCCUUUGAUACUGGGUGUCUUGAGUAUGAGAGAGGUGUGUGGAACUCCGAGUGUAGAGGUGAAAUUCGUAGAUAUUCGGAAGAACACCAGUGGCGAAGGCGACACACUGGCCCAAUACUGACGCUGAGGCGCGAAAGCGUGGGGAGCAAACAGGAUUAGAAACCCUAGUAGUCC
Molecule: ribosomal RNA, 425 nt
Filed under: uncultured bacterium
Lineage: Bacteria
Description: partial 16S ribosomal RNA
Rfam family: Bacterial small subunit ribosomal RNA
Source: RNAcentral